Molecule: long non-coding RNA, 326 nt
Filed under: Salvator merianae (Argentine black and white tegu)
Lineage: Eukaryota; Metazoa; Chordata; Lepidosauria; Squamata; Teiidae
Description: lncRNA (ENSSMRG00000019337.1)
Source: RNAcentral
GUUUUCCAAAGACUAAAGGAAUGUCUCAUACAGAGAAGAACUCCAUGCCUUUGAUCAAAUUUGUAAAAAACUUGUCAUGCCUGAUGUUAAGCAGCCACACAUAAAAACACGGCAUAAUGAGGAAUUCUCCAUUUGCCCUGCACAAACCAUGACCUGAUUCUUCACCUAACAGCUAAGCAGUAUUCAUUUUACCAGACUGGAGAAGAUGAGAGGAAGGAGCUUUCUUUUUAGAGAAACGGACAUGAGAGAUGGGUUCCCAGGGCUCCAUUUCAACUCACAGCAUCACAGGGGAGAUUUUCUUCCCCAAGACAGAUACAGUUGGAAAU